UAGGGAAUAUUGGUUAAUGGGCGAAAGCCUGACCCAGCAACGCCGCGUGCGCGAUGAAGGCCUUCGGGUUGUAAAGCGCUUUUAAGUGGGGUGAGGAAGGACAGUACCACUAGAAUAAGUCUCGGCUAACUACGUGCCAGCAGCCGCGGUAACACGUAGGAGACGAGCGUUAUCCGGAUUUACUGGGUGUAAAGCGCGUGCAGGCGGUAUGGAAAGUUGGAUGUGAAAGCUCCCGGCUUAACUGGGAGAGGUCGUUCAAAACUACCAAACUAGAGUACAGCAGAGGGGAGUGGAAUUCCGAGUGUAGCGGUAAAAUGCAUAGAUAUUCGGAAGAACACCAGUGGCGAAGGCGGCUCCCUGGGCUGAAACUGACGCUCAGACGCGAAAGCUAGGGUAGCGAACG
RNAcentral lists this ribosomal RNA (403 nucleotides) under uncultured bacterium. RNAcentral's name for it is "bacterial SSU rRNA". It matches the Rfam family "Bacterial small subunit ribosomal RNA", at positions 355 to 774 of the family's 1533-position model. The record is from RNAcentral.